AAUGUUUAAAUGUUUUGGGGUUGCCCUUGAAUCUUCCCACCAGGCUCGCUAUCCUCUCCUGCCACACCCUUUGAGAACCACCGAAUUAAGGAGUCCCUGGAAUUUGAAUCCAUUGGAGGCAUUCUGCUUUUGUUGAUGUCUACUCUGAUGGUGGUGUGUUUCGUGUUCUUUUCACUUUCAGACAAUCCUUGCAAACGUGUGGAUAAUUACAGCAACUGAGCUGAUGUAGCGAAGUAAGGCAGAUGCAAGAAGAAAGCUUUGAGGCAGAUUGUCCUGCUUCUUGCCUGCAUACCACUGAAAUAAAAUAGGGGCAUUCGUCCUCUCUGUUGAAUUCUGCAUUCUCAUUCAAAUCAGGCCAUCCGUCAGGACCUUCUGGAUGACCCCUUCCAAAUGAAACUUGUUUUACCCACCCGGGAAGAAUGGCAGAUGAAGUUGAUGGACUAUAUGGAACUGGCGGAAAUGACUGGCAGAAUCCAAGACCAGGGAGAAGAGUCGGUGGAAGAAGACUGGAAAAAGUUUAAAGACUAUUUACAGAAAUAUUGUAAAAUUAAUGAAUGUUAGAAAAAUGUUGGAAUGAAGUUAUAUGGCUUUAGUAGAAAUGUUAUAAGGAAUUAAGUACAAAUAGAUUAAUAGAGUAUUAAAGGGAAGAAUAAGGUUAGAAUCUGUUAAGAUAAUUAAAGGAUAGAAAGCAGAGGAAGAUGGAAAGGAAUUGCUGAAACAAUCAACAGAAGUGGAAUACAAAAAGGGAGGUGUGAG
Molecule: long non-coding RNA, 756 nt
Filed under: Podarcis lilfordi (Lilford's wall lizard)
Lineage: Eukaryota; Metazoa; Chordata; Lepidosauria; Squamata; Lacertidae
Source: RNAcentral